Molecule: ribosomal RNA, 258 nt
Filed under: uncultured bacterium
Lineage: Bacteria
Description: partial 16S ribosomal RNA
Rfam family: Bacterial small subunit ribosomal RNA
Source: RNAcentral
GGUGCACGGGUGAGUAACACGUAUCCAACCUGCCGUCUACUCUUGGACAGCCUUCUGAAAGGAAGAUUAAUACAAGAUGGCAUCAUGAGUCCGCAUGUUCACAUGAUUAGAGGUAUUCCGGUAGACGAUGGGGAUGCGUUCCAUUAGAUAGUAGGCGGGGUAACGGCCCACCUAGUCUUCGAUGGAUAGGGGUUCUGAGAGGAAGGUCCCCCACAUUGGAACUGAGACACGGUCCAAACUCCUACGGGAGGCAGCAUG